This 1296-nucleotide long non-coding RNA is filed under the name Homo sapiens (human). RNAcentral describes it as "novel transcript, antisense to FAM49A". Lineage: Eukaryota; Metazoa; Chordata; Mammalia; Primates; Hominidae. The record is from RNAcentral.
CUUGCCCAAGGACACUGCCGGGGCUUGAGUGUUGGAGGACUUGAGCCUUAGAGUGUUGAAGAUGGGAGUUUGAGAACUAGCUCUGCCAUGAGCUGUGACACAGUGGCCAUUAUCUUGUUGCGCCUUGAGUACAUUAUCCCUAAAAUGGGAUAAUUGCUCUCCUGCCUGUAUUAUGUGAUUAUUGAAGAACUGAGUGAAGAAACAGCUAUUCUAGCAAAUAUUUACUGAGCGCUUAUUUUCCAAAUGUUCUAAUCCUUCACGCAACCCAAACGCUUCUCACAGCAGUCCUGCCGAUUAGAGUCUCACUCUGUUGCCCAGACUGGAGUGCAGUGGUGCAAUCUCGGCUCACUGCAGCCUCCGCCUCCCAAGUUCAAGCGAUUUUCCUGUUCAGCCUCCCCAGUAGCUGGGAUUACAGAUGAAUGCCACCACACCUGGCUAAUUUUUGUAUUUUUUGUUAAAGACGGAGUUUCACCACGUCUCAAACUCCUGGCUUGUCUCAAACUCCUAACCUCAGGUGAUCCGCCCGCCUAUUUGACGAUAAAGUUUGCUGAUCCUGCCCUAGACUGUAAGCUCCAGGAGAGCAGAGACCGCGUCUCUUUCAUCUACUCUGCAUCUCAAUACCUGACUUGGUGCCUGGCUUGAAAUCCAUGGAUAUUUGAAAUGGCCUUGAAAAAUAUGGGAACUGUAUGGAGCAUCUGGAAAGCAUCUGUGGAAGAAUUACAGCAAAAACUUCUACAAUUCAAGGUUAUCAUUUCUGUCUAGAUAAGAAGUUUCUCUAUCAGGACUAGCUAACUGACUUUUGAUCAAGACAACAGCCUGAUUUCUCAUCUGGACUCCUGGCAGAGCAGCCGCAAACUGUAGGCUGUGUCCACAGAAGUUGAAAACAUCCUGACAGAUGUUGUUAAAGGACUCCAGUAGCAAAGAUCAAAGUCUCCGAAUUUUGCCUUUGGAGAAGGGGGUUUCAUUUCAGACAUCAAAGAAAUCCAACGCAGAAAUGACCAACAGGUUUUCCUACCCCCUCAGGCUGGUGAGCUGUUCCUCUGGGCUUCUAGAGGAUUCUGUAUGACUGCAAUCAUUAUCAAUUUUCAUACUAUUUGCAAUUGUACAUUUCACUUGCCUGGCUUUAGGGACAAAGACUUGAGACUUUGAUCUUGCCUUGUACUAUGGAGCCAAAUGCAGGGCCUUCCAUCCACUCAGUGCUCAGUUUCCAUGUCUAUGUCUAUGUUGGACAUGUCUAUGUCCAAGUCUAUGUCUCAGUUGAGAUUUACUGAAUAAAAUCUGAAUAAUUUUAUGCCA